This 258-nucleotide ribosomal RNA is filed under the name uncultured prokaryote. RNAcentral's name for it is "partial 16S ribosomal RNA". It matches the Rfam family "Bacterial small subunit ribosomal RNA", at positions 524 to 782 of the family's 1533-position model. The record is from RNAcentral.
UACGUAGGGGCAAGCGUUAUCCGGAUUUACUGGGUGUAAAGGGAGCGCAGACGGCAGCGCAAGUCUGAUGUGAAAUGUACCGGCUCAACCGGUGCCUUGCGGCGGAUACUGCAUAGCUGGAGUACUGGAGAGGGAAGUGGAAUUCCCGGUGUAGCAGUGAAAUGCGUAGAUAUCGGGAGGAACACCAGUGGCGAAGGCGGUUUCCUGGUCUGAUACUGACGCUGAGGCGCGAAAGUGUGGGGAGCAAACAGGAUUAGA